GGUCCCUAUCUGCCGUGGGCGCUGGAGAACUGAGGGGGGCUGCUCCUAGUACGAGAGGACCGGAGUGGACGCAUCACUGGUGUUCGGGUUGUCAUGCCAAUGGCACUGCCCGGUAGCUAAAUGCGGAAGAGAUAAGUGCUGAAAGCAUCUAAGCACGAAACUUGCCCCGAGAUGAGUUCUCCCUGAGACUUUAAGUCUCCUGAAGGAACGUUGAAGACGACGACGUUGAUAGGCCGGGUGUGUAAGCGCAGCGAUGCGUUGAGCUAACCGGUACUAAUGAACCGUGAGGCUUAACCUUACAACGCCGAAG
This 310-nucleotide ribosomal RNA is filed under the name Salmonella enterica. RNAcentral describes it as "partial 23S ribosomal RNA". It matches the Rfam family "Bacterial large subunit ribosomal RNA", at positions 2633 to 2925 of the family's 2925-position model. The record is from RNAcentral. Lineage: Bacteria; Pseudomonadati; Pseudomonadota; Gammaproteobacteria; Enterobacterales; Enterobacteriaceae.